CGAGGCGCAUCAUGAUCUAGCAAUAGAUUGAUGGCGACCGGCGCACGGGUGAGUAACACGUAUCCAACCUUCCGUUAACUCGGGGAUAGCCUUUCGAAAGAAAGAUUAAUACCGGAUAGUAUAGCAUUACGUCUUGGUUUUGUUAUUAAAGAAUUUCGGUUAUCGAUGGGGAUGCGUUCCAUUAGUUUGUUGGCGGGGUAACGGCCCACCAAGACUUCGAUGGAUAGGGGUUCUGAGAGGAAGGUCCCCCACAUUGGAACUGAGACACGGUCCAAACUCCUACGGGAGGCAGCAGUGAGGAAUAUUGGUCAAUGGACGAGAGUCUGAACCAGCCAAGUAGCGUGAAGGAUGAAGGCUCUAUGGGUUGUAAACUUCUUUUAUAUGGGAAUAAAGUGUUCCACGUGUGGUUUUUUGUAUGUACCGUAUGAAUAAGGAUCGGCUAACUCCGUGCCAGCAGCCGCGGUAAUACGGAGGAUCCGAGCGUUAUCCGGAUUUAUUGGGUUUAAAGGGAGCGUAGGCGGAUACUUAAGUCAGUUGUGAAAGUUUGCGGCUCAACCGUAAAAUUGCAGUUGAUACUGGCUGUCUUGAGUGCAGUAGAGGUAAGGCGGAAUUCGUGGU
RNAcentral lists this ribosomal RNA (618 nucleotides) under uncultured bacterium. Its description in RNAcentral is "bacterial SSU rRNA". It matches the Rfam family "Bacterial small subunit ribosomal RNA", at positions 63 to 674 of the family's 1533-position model. The record is from RNAcentral.